This 83-nucleotide transfer RNA is filed under the name Microcaldota archaeon. RNAcentral's name for it is "tRNA-Ser". It matches the Rfam family "tRNA". From Rfam's summary of the family: Transfer RNA (tRNA) molecules are approximately 80 nucleotides in length. Their secondary structure includes four short double-helical elements and three loops (D, anti-codon, and T loops). The record is from RNAcentral. Lineage: Archaea; Nanobdellati; Microcaldota.
GCCGGGGUGGCAGAGCGGUUAUUGCGCUGGUCUUGAAAACCAGUGCCCUCACGGGCUCAGGAGUUCGAAUCUCCUCUCCGGCG